GAUGAACGCUGGCGGCGUGCCUAAUACAUGCAAGUCGAGCGAACAGACGAGGAGCUUGCUCCUUUGACGUUAGCGGCGGACGGGUGAGUAGCACGUGGGUAACCUACCUAUAAGACUGGGAUAACUUCGGGAAACCGGAGCUAAUACCGGAUAAUAUUUCGAACCGCAUGGUUCGAUAGUGAAAGAUGGCUUUGCUAUCACUUAUAGAUGGACCUGCGCCGUAUUAGCUAGUUGGUAAGGUAACGGCUUACCAAGGCAACGAUACGUAGCCGACCUGAGAGGGUGAUCGGCCACACGGGAACUGAGACACGGUCCAGACUCCGACGGGAGGCAGCAGUAGGGAAUCUUCCGCAAGGGGCGAAAGCCUGACGGAGCAACGCCGCGUGAGUGAUGAAGGUCUUCGGAUCGUAAAACUCUGUUAUUAGGGAAGAACAAACGUGUAAGUAACGGCGCACGUCUUGACGGUACCUAAGCAGAAAGCCACGGCUAACUACGU
This 496-nucleotide ribosomal RNA is filed under the name uncultured bacterium. Its description in RNAcentral is "partial 16S ribosomal RNA". It matches the Rfam family "Bacterial small subunit ribosomal RNA", at positions 28 to 506 of the family's 1533-position model. The record is from RNAcentral.